ACGCUGGCGGUGCGCCUUAUGCCUGCAAGUCGAGCGAAGCUUUUCAGUAGUUUACUACAGAAAAUGACUGAGCGGCGAACGGGUGAGUAACGCGUGAGCAAUCUACCUUAGUUACAGGGAUAGCCCGAGGAAACUCGGAUUAAUACCUGAUAUUCUUUAUUUCUCGCAUGAGAAUAAAAGGAAAGGUCAGCCGAACUAAGAUGAGCUCGCGUUCUAUCAGCUAGUUGGUGAGGUAAAAGCUUACCAAGGCUACGACGGAUAGCUGGUCUGAGAGGACGAUCAGCCACACGGGGACUGAGACACGGCCCAGACUCCUACGGGAGGCUGCAGCAGGGAAUAUUGUGCAAUGAACGAAAGUUUGACACAGCGACACCGCGUGUGGGAUGACGGAUCUAGGUUUGUAAACCACUUUCAGGAGGGAAGAAAAUGACGGUACCUCCACAAGAAGCCCCGGCCAACUACGUGCCAGCAGCCGCGGUAAUACGUAGGGGGCGAGCGUUGUCCGGAUUUAUUGGGCGUAAAGAGCUCGUAGGCGGUUCAACAAGUCGGUCGUGAAAGUUCAGGGCUCAACCCUGAAAUGUCGAUCGAUACUGUUGUGACUAGGAUAC
Molecule: ribosomal RNA, 608 nt
Filed under: uncultured bacterium
Lineage: Bacteria
Description: bacterial SSU rRNA
Rfam family: Bacterial small subunit ribosomal RNA
Source: RNAcentral